Molecule: ribosomal RNA, 468 nt
Filed under: uncultured bacterium
Lineage: Bacteria
Description: partial 16S ribosomal RNA
Rfam family: Bacterial small subunit ribosomal RNA
Source: RNAcentral
GACGAACGCUGGCGGCGUGCUUAACACAUGCAAGUCGAACGGAAAGGCCCUGCUUUUGUGGGGUGCUCGAGUGGCGAACGGGUGAGUAACACGUGAGUAACCUGCCCUUGACGUUGGGAUAACUUCAGGAAACUGGGGCUAAUACCGGAUAGGAGCUCCUGCUGCCUGGUGGGGGUUGGAAAGUUUCGGCGGUUGGGGAUGGACUCGCGGCUUAUCAGCUUGUUGGUGGGGUAGUGGCUUACCAAGGCUUUGACGGGUAGCCGGCCUGAGAGGGUGACCGGCCACAGUGUUACUGAGGUACGGACGGGAAUACUACGGGAGGCAGGAGUGGGGAGUAGUGCCAGAUGGCCGGAAGACUGAUCUAGCAGCGUCGCGUGCGGGAUAGGUGGCUGAUGGUGGUAAUCCGCUUUCGCCUGUGACUAAGCGUGAGUGACGGUAAUGGGUAAAUAAGCACCGGCCAACUACGUG